Molecule: ribosomal RNA, 253 nt
Filed under: uncultured bacterium
Lineage: Bacteria
Description: partial 16S ribosomal RNA
Rfam family: Bacterial small subunit ribosomal RNA
Source: RNAcentral
UACAGAGGUGGCAAGCGUUGUUCGGAAUUACUGGGCGUAAAGGGCGCGUAGGCGGUCCUUCAAGUCCCGCGUGAAAUCCCCCGGCUCAACUGGGGAACUGCGCGGGAAACUGUAGGGCUUGAGUUCGGGAGAGGGAAGCGGAAUUCCGGGUGUAGCGGUGAAAUGCGUAGAUAUCGGAAGGAACACCAGUGGCGAAAGCGGCUUCCUGGUCCAGCACCGACGUUCAGGCACGAAAGCGUGGGGAGCAAACAGG